Molecule: long non-coding RNA, 606 nt
Filed under: Helianthus annuus (common sunflower)
Lineage: Eukaryota; Viridiplantae; Streptophyta; Magnoliopsida; Asterales; Asteraceae
Description: sRNA HanXRQr2_Chr13g0582871
Source: RNAcentral
CACACUGGUGUGUGUGCUUGGAUCGAACAGAAGGCAGGGGCGACCAGGGGUUUAUUUCAAACCCUAGUUUUCACAUAAAAUCCCUAAAUUGAAGCCUCAAAUCUGCCCUAAAUCAAGUCUUGAACAUAAAUUAGUGAUCACCUCAUUGUAGGGAUCAAAAGGUAAAGAAUUUGGGUCGUCAAGUGGACAAGCCGGGGGUGAUACACGCUUAAAGGGUGUGCUUUGAAGGUACUGCUCGUUGUCAUGGAUGUUGAUCAAGCAAGGGGAUUCAAGAACCGAACAUAUAUUUUGAAUGCUUCCGCGUUAAUCUAAUCUAGCUAGACUUAGAUGUUGUUUUGAAACUUUGUUAAACGUCAUGUUUUUAAACAAGUUAGUAUGUUAUGUUUACUUAUUAACUUAUUUUUGCUAAAUUUAUGCAUUUAAUUUGUAAAAUAAGUGUAUUUCCAUGAUGAAAUAAUGAGUUUAUAUAACAAGUGUUACAGCAGUGGUGGUGUGAUAGGCGGUGGUUGUCACACCCCGGUCGCGUUAAAACAACAAAACCGUGGCUGAAACGCCGGGGAGUGAAUGCGACAGAAUUAUUGUUUCAACAACCAUGUUCAAACUUAG